UCAGUUCAGACUGCAGGCUGCAACUCGCCUGCACGAAGUCGGAAUUGCUAGUAAUCGUAGGUCAGCAUACUACGGUGAAUACGUUCCCGGGCCUUGUACACACCGCCCGUCAAACCAUGAGAGUUGGCAACACCCGAAGUCGGUAGUCUAACCGCAAGGAGGACGCCGCCGAAGGUGGGGUUGAUGAUUAGGGUUAAGUCGUAACAAGGUAGC
This 213-nucleotide ribosomal RNA is filed under the name uncultured bacterium. Its description in RNAcentral is "partial 16S ribosomal RNA". It matches the Rfam family "Bacterial small subunit ribosomal RNA", at positions 1288 to 1500 of the family's 1533-position model. The record is from RNAcentral.